Molecule: small nuclear RNA, 102 nt
Filed under: Nannospalax galili (Upper Galilee mountains blind mole rat)
Lineage: Eukaryota; Metazoa; Chordata; Mammalia; Rodentia; Spalacidae
Source: RNAcentral
GUCCUCAUGUCACAGCCCUUGCACUACAAUUGGAAUGACAGAAGAUUAGCAUGACCUCUGAGCAAGGAUGACACGAAAAGCUAUCAAUUGUUCCACAUUAAA